This 433-nucleotide ribosomal RNA is filed under the name uncultured bacterium. RNAcentral describes it as "partial 16S ribosomal RNA". It matches the Rfam family "Bacterial small subunit ribosomal RNA", at positions 29 to 507 of the family's 1533-position model. The record is from RNAcentral.
AGCGAACGCUGGCGGCAGGCCUAGCACAUGCAAGUCGAACGAACUCUUCGGAGUUAGUGGCGGACGGGUGAGUAACACGUGGGAACGUGCCUUUUGGUUCGGAAUAACUCAGGGAAACUUGUGCUAAUACCGAAUGUGCCCUUCGGGGGAAAGAUUUAUCGCCAUUAGAGCGGCCCGCGUCUGAUUAGCUAGUUGGUGAGGUAACGGCUCACCAAGGCGACGAUCAGUAGCUGGUCUGAGAGGAUGACCAGCCACACUGGGACUGAGACACGGCCCAGACUCCUACGGGAGGCAGCAGUGGGGAAUCUUGCGCAAUGGGCGAAAGCCUGACGCAGCCAUGCCGCGUGAAUGAUGAAGGUCUUAGGAUUGUAAAAUUCUUUCAACGGGGACGAUAAUGACGGUACCCGGAGAAGAAGCCCCGGCUAACUUCGUG